GAAAAAAUAAAAUCUUGGCAGUGUGCUGAAGUAGAAGUGCGUUGCCCCAGCCAUCAUUAGACUCGGUGACUUUCCAGAUUUCAAUCCACUGUGAAAACAAGAUUGAAUGCCUGAAGGGUGAGGCAAAACUGAAAAUCCAGAGGAAGAGGUUGCAAUCUACAGGAAGCUGCAUGAAGGGAAGACUACGUGUGGGAACAUAAUGAAGAUAAAUAUACUUUUGUUGGCACUCAAGGUGAUUAAUUGCAAGAGGUGAGCUU
RNAcentral lists this long non-coding RNA (257 nucleotides) under Phasianus colchicus (ring-necked pheasant). Its description in RNAcentral is "lncRNA (ENSPCLG00000008810.1)". The record is from RNAcentral. Lineage: Eukaryota; Metazoa; Chordata; Aves; Galliformes; Phasianidae.